AGUGAACGCUGGCGGUAGGCCUACACAUGCCAGUCGAACGGCAGCACAGUAAGAGCUUGCUCUUACGGGUGGCGAGUGGCGGACGGGUGAGGAAUACAUCGGAAUCUACUUUUUCGUGGGGGAUAACGUAGGGAAACUUACGCUAAUACCGCAUACGACCUACGGGUGAAAGCAGGGGAUCUUCGGACCUUGCGCGAUUGAAUGAGCCGAUGUCGGAUUAGCUAGUUGGCGGGGUAAAGGCCCACCAAGGCGACGAUCCGUAGCUGGUCUGAGAGGAUGAUCAGCCACACUGGAACUGAGACACGGUCCAGACUCCUACGGGAGGCAGCAGUGGGGAAUAUUGGACAAUGGGCGCAAGCCUGAUCCAGCCAUACCGCGUGGGUGAAGAAGGCCUUCGGGUUGUAAAGCCCUUUUGUUGGGAAAGAAAAGCAGCAGGUUAAUACCCCGCUGUUCUGACGGUACCCAAAGAAUAAGCACCGGCUAACUUCGUG
Molecule: ribosomal RNA, 491 nt
Filed under: uncultured bacterium
Lineage: Bacteria
Description: partial 16S ribosomal RNA
Rfam family: Bacterial small subunit ribosomal RNA
Source: RNAcentral